UACGUAGGGUGCAAGCGUUGUCCGGAAUUAUUGGGCGUAAAGAGCUCGUAGGCGGUUUGUCGCGUCUGCUGUGAAAACUCGGGGCUUAACUCCGGGCCUGCAGUGGGUACGGGCAGACUAGAGUGCGGUAGGGGAGACUGGAAUUCCUGGUGUAGCGGUGAAAUGCGCAGAUAUCAGGAGGAACACCGGUGGCGAAGGCGGGUCUCUGGGCCGUAACUGACACUGAGGGACGAAAGCUAGGGGAGCGAAAGGG
Molecule: ribosomal RNA, 253 nt
Filed under: uncultured bacterium
Lineage: Bacteria
Description: partial 16S ribosomal RNA
Rfam family: Bacterial small subunit ribosomal RNA
Source: RNAcentral